AGCGAUCUUUUAUUCCCCACGUUCAUGCACACCGCACUCUAUUCUUGCCUGGGCGUCUUUCUCGCUCACAGAUUUCCUGGAGAAUCUCUGUCUCCAGGGUCAGAGUUUUGCUUUCUGUUUCCAAAGCACCUUUCAGACACGGCAAUGGGCAGCAGCCGUCCUCCGAUUCCUUUCUACAUUCAGUAAACGACACAUUUGUCCCGAGUGUGUGUGUAUAUGAGAGAGAGAAAUAUACAGAUUCCAGGUCUCAGGCAGCAGGCAAAACAACAGGAGGUGAAAUCAACGUGGGGGCGCUCAGAAAAAAAGAAGCGCCAAACUAUGAAAAUGGUUUCCCGUGAGAGAAGGAAAUGGACUGAGGGGGAUGGAGGCGCUGUUUCCUUAAUAGAGAAUUCGACAGCUACUUAGCCCUUUCACUAGUGGAUGUAUAAACUGAAAGUCUGUGCCCGGCACCCCCCUGCAAUGCGUGGGUCCCGGGACCCUGCUCCUGGCAGCACUGGGUCCACAGCUCACACCCCCAGCCUGGGAGAGCCCCUCCUAUGCAGGCGGCCUGCGGCCCAGGGAAGGGCUACAAGGUCCUGCUUGAGGAAUGAGCCCCUGUCACUCCUGGCGUCCUCCUUCCCCCACCUCUGCUGCCUGGGCCCACGUAACACCGGGGUCCUGCUGCUCAUCGUCUUCCUUAGAUCUCAAGCCCAGGUUCGCCAGUUGCCACUGCCUGUUCUUGAGGGCUGCACGCCGGGUCCCCAGAGUUCACGUUUCCUUGUCCUGGGCUCCCAGGCAGCCCCUCCCUGGCCUGGCCCUACUCGGGCGGUUUCUCGGUGUUCCAGGUCACUCCAUGUGGGCAUCUGUGCCGUCAGUCUUGAUCACCUUAUUGGCGGGACUAAGGGGUGGCGGGACUAAGGGGUGGCGGGGCUGGGUUCUUAAAGCCACAGGCGGCCUGAGGCUUGUUUGCCGUCACCAUAGAAACCGCGUGCCCGCACUUGGGCGGGGCCUCCGGAGGGGCGUGGUCAGAGGGGGAGCCCCGCCCCC
RNAcentral lists this long non-coding RNA (1026 nucleotides) under Equus asinus (donkey). Its description in RNAcentral is "lncRNA (ENSEASG00005027106.1)". Lineage: Eukaryota; Metazoa; Chordata; Mammalia; Perissodactyla; Equidae. The record is from RNAcentral.